This 91-nucleotide long non-coding RNA is filed under the name Rhinopithecus roxellana (golden snub-nosed monkey). RNAcentral's name for it is "lncRNA (ENSRROG00000045944.1)". The record is from RNAcentral. Lineage: Eukaryota; Metazoa; Chordata; Mammalia; Primates; Cercopithecidae.
CAGAAAAUAGCACACUUUUACUCUGCGCAACUGUUGCUUUUUCAUGAUCUUCAGGAAUUUUACUGGGAUAAUUGUUCAAAUAAAUUGCAAG